RNAcentral lists this long non-coding RNA (786 nucleotides) under Equus asinus (donkey). Its description in RNAcentral is "lncRNA (ENSEASG00005032982.1)". Lineage: Eukaryota; Metazoa; Chordata; Mammalia; Perissodactyla; Equidae. The record is from RNAcentral.
CUUGUCUGUUGUUUCUGAGAGCCCCAGGGCACCUCAGACUUAGAUUUUACCUGGAUCCUUGUCCUCAGUGUCAUGGAACGUGCAGUGGGGACGCCUGACUCAACCUUAGAGCCGGUGGAAGAGAGCCGGCCAGAGCAGGCAGAGGAUUCUGUGUUGUCCAGCUUGGAUGGAGGCAGCCUCAGAAAGUGGCCAAGAUCCCAUGCAUCGCCACAGCGUACAGAUACUCAAACAAGCCUGCGAGUUGGGCAGGGCAGAGUUAACAGUACAGAAAGUGAGGCUCAGAAAGGGUAGGCCACUUGCCCAAAGGGCUGUGACCACAGCCCUGUUUCCCUUGGCUGAGGAGGGAGCUGCUGAAGAGGUGCCCCCGACUCGUCCCCUCCUGAAAGGAGUCUCCCAGCAGCCCAUGGCAGUCUUGCAGGAAUGGCAAUCACAACGAGAUCGAAAACUAUUGGUGACUUUUUCCACUUGAAUAUUUAAAGACACAGUUUAUUCUUUGUAAAAAGCUGCUUGGCAAUUGCCCUGAUGCUGAAUUUUUGUGGAAGACGUCAGAUGCGCACAUUCUUCACCUCAGUUGUCUAAAAGCACAAGUGGUUUGCCGUCUCCAUUGUUUGUUUCCUUGGUGUGCACUCUCUUCAGUCCCUGGGAGCCCGAGGAAGCCUGGUGUUACAUAAGCACUUCAUCAGAAUAAACAUCCAGCUAGAGGCUGCUUCCUUGGUCCUCCCGCCCUGGAGGAGCGCUUCCCUCAACCCCGACAUUUCCCAGACUGCAGACAGAUUUGCGUUCCUG